GAGAGUUUGAUUCUGGCUCAGGACGAACGCUGGCGGCGUGCCUAAUACAUGCAAGUCGAACGCUUCUUUCUUAUCGAACUUCGGUUCACCAAGAAAGAAGAGUGGCGGACGGGUGAGUAACACGUGGGUAACCUGCCCUUUAGCGGGGGAUAACACUUGGAAACAGGUGCUAAUACCGCAUAAUCUUUUUUCUCGCAUGAGUAAAAAGUGAAAGACGCUUUUGCGUCACUAAAGGAUGGACCCGCGCUGCAUUAGCUAGUUGGUGAGGUAACGGCUCACCAAGGCCACGAUGCAUAGCCGACCUGAGAGGGUGAUCGGCCACACUGGGACUGAGACACGGCCCAGACUCCUACGGGAGGCAGCAGUAGGGAAUCUUCGGCAAUGGACGAAAGUCUGACCGAGCAACGCCGCGUGAGUGAAGAAGGUUUUCGGAUCGUAAAACUCUGUUGUUAGAGAAGAAUAAGGAUGAGAGUAGAAUGUUCAUCCCUGGACGGUAUCUAACCAGAAAGCCACGGCUAAUA
Molecule: ribosomal RNA, 521 nt
Filed under: swine manure pit bacterium PPC2
Lineage: Bacteria
Description: bacterial SSU rRNA
Rfam family: Bacterial small subunit ribosomal RNA
Source: RNAcentral